UUUUUUGAGAGUUUGAUCCUGGCUCAGGAUUAACGCUGGCGGCAUGCCUAAUACAUGCAAGUCGAACGGAAAUCUCCUACUUGUAGGAGAUUUUAGUGGCGAACGGGUGAGUAAUACGUAUUUAACCUGCCCUUAAGUUGGGGAUACCCAUUGGAAACGAUGAUUAAUACCGAAUAAUCUUCAUUAAACUCCGGUUUGUUGAAGCAAAGAGGCGUUUGCCUCGCUUUGGGAUGGGAAUGCGGUGCAUUAGCUAGUUGGUAAGGUAACGGCUUACCAAGGCGACGAUGCAUAGCCGGGCUGAGAGGCUGAACGGCCACAUUGGGAUUGAGAUACGGCCCAGACUCCUACGGGAGGCAGCAGUAAGGAAUUUUUCACAAUGGACGAAAGUCUGAUGAAGCAAUGCCGCGUGAUUGAUGAAGGUUCUCGAAUCGUAAAAAUCUGUGGUAGGGGAAAAAGAUUUAGUGAAAGGAAAUGUUCACUGAUUUUGAUGGUACCUUACUAGAAAGUCAUGACUAACUACGUGCCAGCAGUCGCGGUAAUACGUAGGUGGCGAGCGUUAUCCGGAUUUAUUGGGCGUAUAGUAUGCGUAGACGGAAGAGCAAGUCAAAGGUUUAAUCUUGGGGCCCAACCCCAUUUCGCCUUUGAAACUGUUUUUCUUUGAGGAUAGAAGACGUUAGUGGAAUUUCAUGUGGAGCGGUGAAAUGCGUGGAUAUAUGAAAGAACACCAAGAGCGAAGGCAACUAACGAGUUUAUUCCUGACGUUGAGGCAUGAAAGCAUGGGGAGCAAAUCGGAUUAGAUACCCGAGUAGUCCAUAGCUGUAAACGAUGAGUGCUAGAUGUUCGGAAACGAGUGUCGAAGCUAACGCGUUAAGCACUCCGCCUGGGGAGUACGCACGCAAGUGUAAAACUCAAAGGAAUUGACGGGAACCCGCACAAGCGGUGGAACAUGUGGUUUAAUUCGAAGCAACGCGAAGAACCUUACCAGGGUUUGAAAUUUGGCGCAAAGUGGCAGAAAUGUCACUGAGGUUAACGUUAAACAGAUGGUGCAUGGCUGUCGUCAGUUCGUGUCGUGAGAUGUAAGGUUAAGUCCUCUAACGAACGCAACCCUUGUCGUUAGUUGCUAACAUUAAGUUGAGUACUUUAGCGAGACUGCCGGUGCAAACCGGAGGAAGGUGAGGAUGACGUCAAGUCCGUAUGCCUCUUACACCCUGGGCUACACACGUGUUACAAUGGCUAUUACAAAAAGAUGCAAUACCGCGAGGUAGAGCCAAUCUCCAAAAAUAGUCUCAGUUCGGAUCGAAGUCUGCAACUCGACUUCGUGAAGUCGGAAUCGCUAGUAAUCGCAGAUCAGCAACGCUGCGGUGAAUACGUUCUCGGGUUUUGUACACACCGCCCGUCAAACCAUGAAAGUUGGUAGUGCUGGAAGUUGAUUUCUCAACUCGCUUGCGAGAGAGUGUCAACCAAGGUAAGACCGAUGAUUGGGGUUAAGUCGUAACAAGGUAUCCCUACGAGAACGUGGGGAUGGAUCACCUCCUUU
Molecule: ribosomal RNA, 1537 nt
Filed under: Mollicutes bacterium
Lineage: Bacteria; Bacillati; Mycoplasmatota; Mollicutes
Description: bacterial SSU rRNA
Rfam family: Bacterial small subunit ribosomal RNA
Source: RNAcentral